This 253-nucleotide ribosomal RNA is filed under the name uncultured bacterium. RNAcentral describes it as "partial 16S ribosomal RNA". It matches the Rfam family "Bacterial small subunit ribosomal RNA", at positions 524 to 776 of the family's 1533-position model. The record is from RNAcentral.
UACAGGGGGGGCAAGCGUUGUUCGGAAUUACUGGGCGUAAAGGGUGCGUAGGCGGCCAUGUAAGUGAGGUGUGAAAUCCCUCGGCUCAACCGAGGAACUGCGCUUCAUACUGCAUGGCUUGAGGGAGACAGGGGUAAGCGGAACUGAUGGUGGAGCGGUGAAAUGCGUUGAUAUCAUCAGGAACACCGGUGGCGAAAGCGGCUUACUGGGUCUCUUCUGACGCUGAGGUACGAAAGCUAGGGUAGCGAACGGG